UAAGCCGCGGUAAUUCCAGCUCCAAUAGCGUAUAUUAAAGUUGCUGCAGUUAAAAAGCUCGUAGUUGAAUUUCGGGACCAUCAUGUCGGUCGUGCCUCGGUACGUACUGGCAUUGUUGGUUUCUCCCUUCUGACGAACCAUGAUGUCAUUUAUUUGGUGUUGUGGGAAAUCAGGACUGUUACUUUGAAAAAAUUAGAGUGUUUAAAGCAGGCUCACGCUUGAAUACAUUAGCAUGGAAUAAUGAAAUAGGACGUUUGAUUCUAUUUUGUUGGUUUCUAGGAUCGACGUAAUGAUUAAUAGGGAUAGUUGGGGGCAUUAGUAUUCAAUUGUCAGAGGUGAAAUUCUUGGAUUUAUUGAAGACUAACUACUGCGAAAGCAUUUGCCAAGGAUGUUUUCAUUAAUCAAGAACGAAAGUUAGGGGAUCGAAGACGAUCAGAUACCGUCGUAGUCUUAACCAUAAACUAUGCCGACUAGGGAUCGGAUGAUGUUAAUUUUUUAAUGACUCAUUCGGCGCCUUACG
Molecule: unclassified non-coding RNA, 520 nt
Filed under: uncultured Glomeromycotina
Lineage: Eukaryota; Fungi; Glomeromycota
Description: SSU rRNA
Rfam family: Eukaryotic small subunit ribosomal RNA
Source: RNAcentral